Molecule: long non-coding RNA, 1131 nt
Organism: Lepidothrix coronata (blue-crowned manakin)
Lineage: Eukaryota; Metazoa; Chordata; Aves; Passeriformes; Pipridae
Exons: 4
Source: RefSeq, a predicted model, not a curated record
AGGUGAUUUGUAUUCACCACCAUUAAGGGCAGUGCUCACCGCUCUGUCCUGCAGGCUGGCUGCACACCACAGGGAAUUGCUCGGUGACCCCAAGCUUUCCUCUGCCCAAUUAUCCUGGUUAGCUUGCAGGCAGCCUCGGGAGCGGGGCAGGGAACAGGUCACACCGAGGGACUCGUCCUCCCGUGCCCCUGCCUGCCCUCAGGCUGGGGGCAGGGUGCUGGGCAGGGGUGGCUCCUGGAGGGUGUCAGGUCACAGCAGCCUCAAAGCCAGUUGGGAAGAGGAAAGUUCCAGUCCUGGGACACCCCUUGAGCACCUGCACUGGAGCCCAACGCCUGCAAGACCUCAAGGGCCAGAGCUGUUCCAGUGCUGUGAUUCCCAUCCAGAAGCCCCAAAAGUGGACAUGGGGGUGAAACUGGGAGACCUGAGACCCGCUGCCACCCACGAGCACGCCUAAUUCCUAUUUUCCUCCAAGCCCAUCCCGAGCAUCUCCCUGUGCUGCCAGAGCAGAGAUUUGUUCUCCAUCUGGGAAUAUUGGUGCCUUCUGGAGCAGCCCUGAACUCUCCAUUAGACCAGUUGCUUUCUGAUUCGGAGGGGAGCAAAGAGUUAAAAUUUAUUCCAUCCACCUGUAUAUUUUCCCAAGCCUUCUGAUAGCAAUCAAGAAUGCAGGAAAUGGUGUAUUUAAGGGGUGAAUUUGCCAAAACUGUGCCACAAGUCAAACUUAUAAAGCAAAGUUUAUUUGUAAAGUUACAGAAGGCUGAAGUAUCUCCUGUUGAAGGGGCAAGUGCUGGAGCUCAUCAAGGCACAGAUCAGCCCUGCUGGGUUAUAGAGGGACCUUUGACUGUUAACUGGGAUCAUUUCAGCUGGUUUGGAGCCCUGUGAGGGACCUGACAGGGCUCAGCGAUGCCCCAGCUGGGGCUCCCCAGCCCCAGGGGGCUCAGCACCACUGGAAUUGGUGUCUAUCUCUGCUGGAUGGUGGGAGGCUGUGGUGGGGUGCUGGGAUGUGCCCCCAGCCACACAAGGACCACGAGUUCUUGCCCGUGAACCCAGCCCGCCCCUGUGUGCUGCUUUCCAGGGAUCCUCAAAUCCCUAAAGGCUCCAUGAGAGUGUUUUAUAAACUCUUCCCGUGCUGAA